RNAcentral lists this transfer RNA (85 nucleotides) under Felis catus (domestic cat). It matches the Rfam family "tRNA". Rfam says of the family: Transfer RNA (tRNA) molecules are approximately 80 nucleotides in length. Their secondary structure includes four short double-helical elements and three loops (D, anti-codon, and T loops). The record is from Rfam by way of RNAcentral. Lineage: Eukaryota; Metazoa; Chordata; Mammalia; Carnivora; Felidae.
GCCUGGGUGGCUCAGUCAGUUGAGCGUCUGACUUAGGCUCAGGUCAUGAUCUCACAGUUCGUGGGUUUGAGCCCUGCAUUGGGCU